Molecule: ribosomal RNA, 809 nt
Filed under: Mycobacterium sp.
Lineage: Bacteria; Bacillati; Actinomycetota; Actinomycetes; Mycobacteriales; Mycobacteriaceae
Description: bacterial SSU rRNA
Rfam family: Bacterial small subunit ribosomal RNA
Source: RNAcentral
UGAGUAACACGUGGGUGAUCUGCCCUGCACUUUGGGAUAAGCCUGGGAAACUGGGUCUAAUACCGAAUAUGACCACGCGCUUCAUGGUGUGUGGUGGAAAGCUUUUGCGGUGUGGGAUGGGCCCGCGGCCUAUCAGCUUGUUGGUGGGGUAAUGGCCUACCAAGGCGACGACGGGUAGCCGGCCUGAGAGGGUGACCGGCCACACUGGGACUGAGAUACGGCCCAGACUCCUACGGGAGGCAGCAGUGGGGAAUAUUGCACAAUGGGCGCAAGCCUGAUGCAGCGACGCCGCGUGAGGGAUGACGGCCUUCGGGUUGUAAACCUCUUUCAAUAGGGACGAAGCGCAAGUGACGGUACCUAUAGAAGAAGGACCGGCCAACUACGUGCCAGCAGCCGCGGUAAUACGUAGGGUCCGAGCGUUGUCCGGAAUUACUGGGCGUAAAGAGCUCGUAGGUGGUUUGUCGCGUUGUUCGUGAAAACUCACAGCUUAACUGUGGGCGUGCGGGCGAUACGGGCAGACUAGAGUACUGCAGGGGAGACUGGAAUUCCUGGUGUAGCGGUGGAAUGCGCAGAUAUCAGGAGGAACACCGGUGGCGAAGGCGGGUCUCUGGGCAGUAACUGACGCUGAGGAGCGAAAGCGUGGGGAGCGAACAGGAUUAGAUACCCUGGUAGUCCACGCCGUAAACGGUGGGUACUAGGUGUGGGUUUCCUUCCUUGGGAUCCGUGCCGUAGCUAACGCAUUAAGUACCCCGCCUGGGGAGUACGGCCGCAAGGCUAAAACUCAAAGGAAUUGACGGGGGCCCGCACAA